Molecule: ribosomal RNA, 507 nt
Filed under: uncultured bacterium
Lineage: Bacteria
Description: partial 16S ribosomal RNA
Rfam family: Bacterial small subunit ribosomal RNA
Source: RNAcentral
AUUGAACGCUGGCGGCAGGCUUAACACAUGCAAGUCGAGCGGUAACAGAGAGAAGCUUGCUUCUCUGCUGACGAGCGGCGGACGGGUGAGUAAUGCCUAGGAAUCUGCCUAGUAGUGGGGGAUAACUUGCCGAAAGGUAAGCUACUACCGCAUACGUCCUACGGGAGAAAGGAGGGGACCUUCGGGCCUUUCGCUAUUAGAUGAGCCUAGGUCGGAUUAGUUAGUUGGUGAGGUAAUGGCUCACCAAGACCGCGAUCCGUAACUGGUCUGAGAGGAUGAUCAGUCACACUGGAACUGAGACACGGUCCAGACUCCUACGGGAGGCAGCAGUGGGGAAUAUUGGACAAUGGGGGGAACCCUGAUCCAGCCAUGCCGCGUGUGUGAAGAAGGUCUUAGGAUUGUAAAGCACUUUAAGUUGGGAGGAAGAGCAGUUAACUAAUAUUUGACUGUUUUGACGUUACCGACAGAAUAAGCACCGGCUAACAUCGUGCCAGCCGCCGCCGGUAA